UACGUAGGGACCAAGCGUUGUUCGGAUUUACUGGGCGUAAAGGGCGCGUAGGCGGCGUGGUCAGUCACUUGUGAAAUCUCUGAGCUUAACUCAGAACGGCCAAGUGAUACUGCUGUGCUAGAGUGCAGAAGGGGCAAUCGGAAUUCUUGGUGUAGCGGUGAAAUGCGUAGAUAUCAAGAGGAACACCUGAGGUGAAGACGGGUUGCUGGGCUGACACUGACGCUGAGGCGCGAAAGCCAGGGGAGCAAACGGG
RNAcentral lists this ribosomal RNA (253 nucleotides) under uncultured bacterium. RNAcentral describes it as "partial 16S ribosomal RNA". It matches the Rfam family "Bacterial small subunit ribosomal RNA", at positions 524 to 776 of the family's 1533-position model. The record is from RNAcentral.